ACUCACCAYAAUCUUAAAAACCAAUUUAAAUAAAAACACUCACAUAUCUAGCUUCCUUACAAACUUAAAUUCAAAAGUACUUAAAAGGAAAACUUCAAUAACUUAAGGUAGUGAUUAAACCACGUACCUUGUGCAUUAUGGUUUUACAAGCACACAAUUAAUAAUGAAAUCCCGAAUAACAGCUUGUGUACUGCCGUMGUAAGCAUACCUCUAAAAGCAUUAAGUMUGCAAUUCCAUACGCGUUAGAAAAUCUCUGGUUCUCAGUAAAACUUACAAAUAAACCACACAGUAAAACUGUAGUGUAAUAUUACAGAGGAUAAGCCCUGUAAUCAUUAGCUAAUAAAAUAUUUAAAUAAUUGGUUAGGCUUAAAAUCAGCCAUCUACAAUACUUUACCGUAAAAUAUAAAUAACAAAAUAAAUUAAAUACCUUAUAUGCUAAAUAAAACUGAGAUUUAAGUAAAACAAUAAAACUUAAUAUAUUAUGUAAAACUAAGUAAUAGAAAAAUUUAAUAAAUUAAUCUAUAAAUAUUUAAUUAAAUUAUUUCACAUAAAUACUYMYWAAGAAACUCGGCNAANAAAA
Molecule: ribosomal RNA, 580 nt
Filed under: Cernosvitovia sturanyi dacica
Lineage: Eukaryota; Metazoa; Annelida; Clitellata; Crassiclitellata; Lumbricidae
Description: partial 16S ribosomal RNA
Source: RNAcentral